Molecule: unclassified non-coding RNA, 338 nt
Filed under: soil metagenome
Description: partial contains 5.8S ribosomal RNA, internal transcribed spacer 2, and large subunit ribosomal RNA
Rfam family: 5.8S ribosomal RNA (bases 1-120)
Source: RNAcentral
GAUGAAGAACGUAGCGAAAUGCGAUAAGUAAUGUGAAUUGCAGAAUUCAGUGAAUCAUCGAAUCUUUGAACGCACAUUGCGCCCGCCAGUAUUCUGGCGGGCAUGCCUGUCCGAGCGUCAUUUCAACCAUCAAGCCCCCGGGCUUGUGUUGGGGACCUGCGGCUGCCCGCAGGCCCUGAAAACCAGUGGCGGGCUCGCUGUCACACCGAGCGUAGUAGCAAUCACCUCGCUCAGGGCGUGCUGCGGGUUCCGGCCGUUAAACAGCCUUACAAAACCCAAGGUUGACCUCGGAUCAGGUAGGAAGACCCGCUGAACUUAAGCAUAUCAAUAAGCGGAGA